This 254-nucleotide ribosomal RNA is filed under the name uncultured Sphingobacterium sp. RNAcentral's name for it is "partial 16S ribosomal RNA". It matches the Rfam family "Bacterial small subunit ribosomal RNA", at positions 524 to 776 of the family's 1533-position model. The record is from RNAcentral. Lineage: Bacteria; Pseudomonadati; Bacteroidota; Sphingobacteriia; Sphingobacteriales; Sphingobacteriaceae.
UACGGAGGAUCCGAGCGUUAUCCGGAUUUAUUGGGUUUAAGGGGUGCGUAGGCGGCACUUUAAGUCAGGGGUGAAAGACGGCAGCUCAACUGUCGCAGUGCCUUUGAUACUGAAGUGCUUGAAUGCGGUUGAAGACGGCGGAAUGAGACAAGUAGCGGUGAAAUGCAUAGAUAUGUCUCAGAACACCGAUUGCGAAGGCAGCUGUCUAAGCCGUUAUUGACGCUGAUGCACGAAAGCGUGGGGGAUCGAACAGG